This 567-nucleotide long non-coding RNA is filed under the name Nicotiana benthamiana. RNAcentral's name for it is "long non-coding RNA (NBEN_LNC024639)". The record is from RNAcentral. Lineage: Eukaryota; Viridiplantae; Streptophyta; Magnoliopsida; Solanales; Solanaceae.
UAUGCCCCCUCCCCUCCACCCCCGCCGCGACGCUGCUACUGCCGGAGACGCCCAUCUCCAGUGACCUCACCAGUAAGUCCACACACUUCUCUCUCUUCCGACGCCCUCUCUUGCUCCCCCUUACCCCCUUUUUUUGUGUGUGGGGUAUUUUGUUGUAGUUUGUAGGUACUAGAGGCAGCAUACGAGGCAAGCUUGCGGCAUUUGGAAGUGAGGAGCAAACCCACAUCGGCCAAAACGUGUAGGAGUUGGCGGUAGUUGACCCCGGGCGCAUCAAAGCUUACUUUCAUGUUUUUUCACCGGGAGGAGAUACCAACUCCCGAUCUCUUGUUUACUCUGUACACCAUUUUAUGUAUCCUAGCUAGCAUCUUGUAUGGUCUUUUGCUUUCACCAUUGUUUUUCACUGCUUUCUUUACUGUUGCUCUCAUUCUACCAAAUUUUCAUCUUGUAAACACUUAGCUAGUUUACUUGAAGUGAUCUUUGAGAUUUUUGCGCUUCUUGAUUUGUCGAUCAGGUUAGUGUUUUCUCCCGUGGCGGAUCUAAUAACUUAAAUUUAGUGGAUUUGGAGUA